UACGUAGGGCGCAAGCGUUAUCCGGAAUUAUUGGGCGUAAAGAGCUCGUAGGCGGUCUGUUGCGUCUGCUGUGAAAACCCGGGGCUUAACCCCUGGCUUGCAGUGGAUACGGACAGACUAGAGUUCGGUAGGGGAGACUGGAAUUCCUGGUGUAGCGGUGAAAUGCGCAGAUAUCAGGAGGAACACCGGUGGCGAAGGCGGGUCUCUGGGCCGAUACUGACGCUGAGGAGCGAAAGCGUGGGGAGCGAACAGG
RNAcentral lists this ribosomal RNA (253 nucleotides) under uncultured bacterium. RNAcentral's name for it is "partial 16S ribosomal RNA". It matches the Rfam family "Bacterial small subunit ribosomal RNA", at positions 524 to 776 of the family's 1533-position model. The record is from RNAcentral.